AUGGGGAGAACAAAUUCUGAAAGAUGUCAUGUCCGAGGUCAAUACAUUCCAAAAGAAGAAGAAAAAAGCACUAUUAGAUGGUGUCUUCAAAAAAAUAUGGGUUGGCAGCUGCCUACCUUUGCUCGCGAAUCAUCUUUGUCGACGCAUCGAAUAAAUUACUCACUUCCGAGAAUAUCCCAUGUAACAGAUGACGACUUCGAUUUUGUCAUGCUACAUGACAAAAGUAGACUGAGCCUCAUCCCACAUAUUUAUGGCGCACGACCGUUUCGUGCACUUGACACCACCCCAUAUGCCAUCCAAGCGCCAAACUACAAGGACCAACCUGACCAACAGCCAUAUAUUCAGCAAACAGAAACUGAUUCUACCGAACAUCCAGCCGGGGACAUGCAUCACCAGGUCCCUACAUUACCUAUCAAGCAAACUGAGGAACCACCAGCGUUCAUACUGCCAAUUUUGCAAAGGCAUAGUGCAAAAUGGGAAGAAGAUAUUUCAAAAGCCACAUCACGACUUACUAAACUGCAUGCUAAGCGCAUGAACAAGUUUGCACAAGAUGUCAUUGCUGCCACAAAAAACCAUACCCCGAUACCACCUACUUAUUCUUCGCCUCCUAGGGAUGUCCAAGACUCGUCUACAGAAAAAGCUCAAAAUAAUGGCACAAAAGCCACACCCGACACCAGGUUUUGGCAGGAAGCAACUGCAUACGCCGAUGAGGUGGAUAAAAGUGUCGAAAAAACACCUCAGAAUAACCAGGAUGAUGCUUCUAUAUCCGCUCGUGUUACGAACCAAUCCAGCGGAGAAUUAGAUACAAGGCAUAGGAUCCUUACUUCAUACGAAGAUCCAAGUUUCAGUUUCCUACCCCCUGGUCAGACUUGGACCCAACUAUGGUCCGAACCAGCUCCGUCAUCACUUCAACCACAAGAUGUCGAUGUUGCUACAACAGUUGCACAAUCCUCAACUCUAGGGGCAACAACCAUGUCAACAGUGGGCGCAAACUUGGCACACAUCGGUCACGAAAUAUCCCAUGUACAAUUGCCACCUACUACAGCCCCAACACAGCUAAACCAGGAAAAUGGAACCGAAGCACCAAUCAGCAACCGUAUUGUGACCGAGGUACAUGAAGGCACCGCUAGGGAUGUCCCUGAAACGAUUGGCACCCAAACUCAGGAAAAAAAGAAUAGGAAGAAGCGAGCUUGUCUUCGAAUAAAAGAGGACACAAAGCUCAAGAAGCUCAAGGUUAACAGUUCCUCUAUUGAUCUGUACAACAAGUACAUUACUACCAGAUGUGUGCGAUCUCCGACAAAAAAAGAGUGA
Molecule: ribosomal RNA, 1311 nt
Filed under: Triticum aestivum (bread wheat)
Lineage: Eukaryota; Viridiplantae; Streptophyta; Magnoliopsida; Poales; Poaceae
Description: partial small subunit ribosomal RNA
Source: RNAcentral